AUGCUGCCGGGAGGGGAAGGAAAGAGAGGGGGGGGGAAAGAAAAAAAAAAAAUCGGGCCCGAGUCCCGCCGGCUGCCUCCCGCCUUAACCCCGCGGAGCCGCCCGCACCGCCCCGAGCCGCAGCGCUCAGCCCCGCUCCGCUGCCCGGCGCCGGCGGUGCGCGGCCGAAAGGUCACGGCGGGGCCCGCGCUGCGCCGUCACGGCCGCCCGAGCUCCGGCUCUCCCCGCCCGCCCGCCCGCGAGCCGCGCCGCCCGCCCUCCGCCUCUCCCCCUCCGGGCGCGCCCGGCCCGCGGCGCUGCUCCCCCCCGCCCCUCACCCGGCGCCGGGACCCCGCGGGUCGGAGCGGAGCGCAGCGCCGCGGGCGGGGCCGGGCCGGCCGCCAGCCGCUCGCACCGGGGCUCCCCGGCCGGGCCCCCGGCCCCGCCUCCCGGCCCUGCCCGCCGCCGGCGCUCGCUGUCACCCCCCGGCCGGCCCCUCUGUCCCCCGCUGCCGCUUCCACUCCGCGCUCCCCCCCCGCCCGGCCCGGGGAAGCCGUCCUCCCGCCGUCCGGCCCCGCGGCUCCUCCUCUCGCCGUGCCGCCGGCGCGGGAAGGGAGCGAGGGAGGCCUCCCCGGCCCGGCCCGGCCCUCGGCGCGGCGGCGGCGGGAACGGAGGCCCCGGCCCCGUCCUCCCGCCGCCCCGGCGCUGCCCCUCCCGCCGCUCUACCCGGGCUUUACCUGCCGUGGCGGCGCGGCGCGGGACCCCGGGGCCUCUGGCAGCCGGAGGAGGCGGCGGACUCCGUCCCGCUGCGGCCGUCCCCGAGUGAGGCGGGCGGGACGGAGCCGGGACCUGCCCCGGGAGGCGUUACGUAAACCGGCGGCGGCGGCGGCUCCCAGCGCCACGGGGAGGGAGGGGAGAAGGGAGGGGAAGGGGGGAGGCGGCCGUUCCGUCGCCCGGCAACAGGACUCAGCGCCCCGGCGGACCGCGCCGCAGGCCCCGCCCCGUAUCCUUCCGCCCAGAGGGCGGCCCGGAUCCCGCCGCCCGAGCGCGGGGCUGAGAGGAGCGGCGGGCGGGACGCGAGUGGAGCGGGCGGCCCGUCCGGCUGCAUGGCGAGCGGGAAGGGCGGGGCGGGAGGGAAGCGCCCCUUUGGCCCGGCUGCGCGCCACGGCCCCGCCCGCCGGGGGAGAGCCGGGCGCCUGA
RNAcentral lists this long non-coding RNA (1179 nucleotides) under Phasianus colchicus (ring-necked pheasant). RNAcentral describes it as "lncRNA (ENSPCLG00000001733.1)". The record is from RNAcentral. Lineage: Eukaryota; Metazoa; Chordata; Aves; Galliformes; Phasianidae.